This is a small nuclear RNA of Pantherophis guttatus, 153 nucleotides long. RefSeq annotates it as U4 spliceosomal RNA. The record is from RefSeq and is a predicted model, not a curated record. Lineage: Eukaryota; Metazoa; Chordata; Lepidosauria; Squamata; Colubridae.
AUCUUUGCACAGUGGCAGUAUCAUAGCCAUUUAAGGAAGUUAAUCAGAGGUGUGAUUAUUGCUAAUUGAAAACUUUUUCCCAAUAUCCCGUCAUGAAACAUGAACAAUAGUCUGCACUGACAGUUUUUGAAAGUUCAUUCUCUGAUCACUGAG